This 29-nucleotide non-coding RNA is filed under the name Mus musculus (house mouse). The record is from RNAcentral. Lineage: Eukaryota; Metazoa; Chordata; Mammalia; Rodentia; Muridae.
UGGAANAUCAGACUGCCACACUUAGUACA